AUGAAAAGUUCGCUAUUUGUUGCAUUUAUGAUAAAAUUUCGGCAGGAUUUUACCGAGUACAAAUUCUCCGAAAAGCCUGAAAACGUUACAUUUUUCUCUGUUGGUGCUGUUCUUGCUUCAUUAUGAAUUCAUUUUUACUCCCAUGAGAGUUCCGUGGAAUUUCCAUGGAAUUUGUGCUUUCGAGUUGUUUGUGCUGAAACGCAUUCUCUCGUAUAAUACCCCGUACACUUUGAAAUGGCGAUGCCACAAUUUACCCGCAGCAGACAGCUUUUAUGCAUGGUAUCAGAGUUCCUCCGUAGCAACAACAUAAACUUGUAAGUUCUUUGAAUGUUUGCAUGGCGAUAAAAUAUAAUUGUUUUUGUUUGUGGAAA
Molecule: non-coding RNA, 371 nt
Organism: Paramuricea clavata
Lineage: Eukaryota; Metazoa; Cnidaria; Anthozoa; Malacalcyonacea; Plexauridae
Source: the annotation of a GenBank genome assembly